GACGAACGCUGGCGGCGUGCCUAAUACAUGCAAGUAGAACGCUGAAGAGAGGAGCUUACUCUUCUUGGAUGAGUUGCGAACGGGUGAGUAACGCGUAGGUAACCUGCCUUGUAGCGGGGGAUAACUAUUGGAAACGAUAGCUAAUACCGCAUAACAAUGGAUGACACAUGUCAUUUAUUUGAAAGGGGCAAUUGCUCCACUACAAGAUGGACCUGCGUUGUAUUAGCUAGUAGGUGAGGUAAUGGCUCACCUAGGCGACGAUACAUAGCCGACCUGAGAGGGUGAUCGGCCACACUGGGACUGAGACACGGCCCAGACUCCUAUGGGAGGCAGCAGUAGGGAAUCUUCGGCAAUGGGGGCAACCCUGACCGAGCAACGCCGCGUGAGUGAAGAAGGUUUUCGGAUCGUAAAGCUCUGUUGUAAGUCAAGAACGGGUGUGAGAGUGGAAAGUUCACACUGUGACGGUAGCUUACCAGAAAGGGACGGCUAACUACGUG
Molecule: ribosomal RNA, 497 nt
Filed under: uncultured bacterium
Lineage: Bacteria
Description: partial 16S ribosomal RNA
Rfam family: Bacterial small subunit ribosomal RNA
Source: RNAcentral